UACGUAGGUGGCAAGCGUUGUUCGGAAUUACUGGGCGUAAAGGGCUCGUAGGCGGCCAACUAAGUCGGAUGUGAAAUCCCCAGGCUCAACCUGGGAACUGCAUCCGAUACUGGAUGGCUUGAAUCCGGGAGAGGGAUGCGGAAUUCCAGGUGUAGCGGUGAAAUGCGUAGAUAUCUGGAGGAACACCGGUGGCGAAGGCGGCAUCCUGGACCGGCAUUGACGCUGAGGAGCGAAAGCCAGGGGAGCAAACGGGAUUAGAAACCCCUGUAGUCC
RNAcentral lists this ribosomal RNA (273 nucleotides) under uncultured bacterium. RNAcentral's name for it is "partial 16S ribosomal RNA". It matches the Rfam family "Bacterial small subunit ribosomal RNA", at positions 524 to 796 of the family's 1533-position model. The record is from RNAcentral.